AGCGAACGCUGGCGGCAGGCUUAACACAUGCAAGUCGAGCGGGCACUUUCGGGUGUCAGCGGCGGACGGGUGAGUAACGCGUGGGAACGUGCCCUCUGGUUCGGAAUCACUCAGGGAAACUUGAGCUAAUACCGGAUACGCCCUUUUGGGGAAAGGCUUGCUGCCGGAGGAUCGGCCCGCGUCUGAUUAGCUAGUUGGUGAGGUAACGGCUCACCAAGGCGACGAUCAGUAGCUGGUCUGAGAGGAUGAUCAGCCACACUGGGACUGAGACACGGCCCAGACUCCUACGGGAGGCAGCAGUGGGGAAUAUUGGACAAUGGGCGCAAGCCUGAUCCAGCCAUGCCGCGUGAGUGAUGAAGGCCUUAGGGUUGUAAAGCUCUUUUAUCCGGGACGAUAAUGACGGUACCGGAUGAAUAAGCCCCGGCUAACUUCGUG
This 435-nucleotide ribosomal RNA is filed under the name uncultured bacterium. Its description in RNAcentral is "partial 16S ribosomal RNA". It matches the Rfam family "Bacterial small subunit ribosomal RNA", at positions 29 to 507 of the family's 1533-position model. The record is from RNAcentral.